CCCCUCCGGUUAAGUCUCCCCCACCACCUUAUUACUAUCAUUCACCGCCGCCGCCGGUGAAAUCCCCUCCCCCUCCUUAUGUAUACCAGUCUCCUCCUCCUCCGGUGAAGUCUCCACCACCACCUUAUUACUACCACUCUCCGCCACCACCUGUGAAGUCUCCUCCCCCUCCUUAUGUAUACAACUCUCCUCCUCCUCCGGUGAAGUCUCCUCCACCACCGUAUUAUUACCACUCUCCUCCACCACCAGUAAAAUCUCCUCCUCCUCCUUACUAUUAUCAUUCUCCACCACCUCCGGUGAAAUCUCCGCCACCACCAUAUUACUAUCACUCACCACCUCCUCCAGUGAAGUCUCCCCCACCACCAUAUUACUACCAUUCUCCACCACCACCGGUUAAAUCUCCACCACCACCUUACUACUAUCAUUCUCCACCUCCUCCAUUGAAGUCUCCUCCACCACCAUACUACUAUCACUCUCCUCCUCCUCCAUCCAAGUCUCCACCACCACCAUACUACUACUACUACUCUCCUCCUCCUCCAGUCAAGUCUCCUCCACCACCGUACUACUACCACUCUCCUCCUCCUCCGGUCAAGUCUCCUCCACCACCGUACUACUACCACUCUCCUCCUCCUCCGGUAAAGUCUCCACCACCACCGUACUACUACCACUCUCCUCCUCCUCCGGUUAAAUCUCCACCACCACCUUACUACUACCACUCUCCUCCUCCUCCGGUUAAAUCACCACCACCGCCAUACUAUUAUCACUCUCCACCUCCUCCAGUGAAAUCACCACCCCCACCUUAUUAUUACUCAUCCCCACCACCACCAAAGUCUUAUCCUCCACCAUACUACUACUCAUCUCCACCGCCACCACCAAAGUCGUACUCGCCACCGUACUACUACUCAUCGCCACCACCUCCGAUGUCAUACCCUCAACCUCACCCACAGCCACAUCCACUUGUCUUCAAAGUUGUUGGUAAAGUGUAUUGUUACAGAUGUUAUGACUGGACUUAUCCUAAAAAGUCCCACGAUAAGAAGCAUCUCAAAGGUAACUAUGUCUUCCACGUGUUCAAUAAUUAAUGUUUUAAUCUUAGCUAACUUAAUUACAGAAAAUAUGAUCCUGAUGAUUAUAGAAUGAUUAAAGGCUUAUAGGAUUUAAAUAAACUAGCAUAUGUGUAUUGUGAAGUGGUAGUUGCAAGUCUGGAUUAUUUAUUUAGUGGAGAAAAGAAAACGAUCAAGUCAAGAAAAAAACAAAAAUCUGUUAUUGACUAAAACAAUCGAGAGAGAUAGAACAAGCAAAAUCGAUUUAAAUGACAUAAAAUGAUACUUUAAAUUUAAAUAAUUUGUUGUCAUAUAGGUGCUGUGGUGGAAGUGACGUGCAAGGCCGGUGACAAGACAGUGAAGGCAUACGGGAAGACCAAAAUCAACGGUAAAUACGCAAUAACCGUUAAGGGAUACAACUACCGUAAAUACGGUGGCGAAGUUUGCACAGCCAAACUCCACUCGCCACCUAAGGGAUCGCCGUGUAACAUUCCUACAAGUUACCAUUUGGGUAACAAAGGUGCUAAACUCCAUGUGAAAUCAAAGACAAAGUACGAGGUUGUGCUUUAUGCUAAGUCCUUUGCUUAUGCACCUAAGAAACCUUACGGAGAAUGCCACAAGCCGGCUCCUUACCAUCCUCCUUACUACUACAAGUCUCCACCACCACCUUCUCCGGUUUACUACUACAAGUCUCCACCACCACCAACUCCAACUUAUGUCUAUAAAUCACCGCCUCCACCAACCCCAGCGUAUGUCUACAAAUCGCCUCCUCCUCCUACCCCAACAUACGUCUAUAAAUCUCCUCCACCACCAACUCCGACUUACGUCUACAAAUCACCACCACCGCCUACUCCAACGUAUGUGUAUAAGUCUCCGCCUCCACCAACCCCUACGUAUGUCUACAAGUCGCCCCCACCACCAACUCCAACCUAUGUUUACAAAUCACCGCCUCCUCCUACUCCGACCUACGUCUACAAGUCGCCGCCUCCUCCUACCCCAACUUAUGUUUACAAGUCGCCACCACCUCCAACACACACUCCUACACCAUACUACUACCAUUCUCCACCACCACCAGUUAAAUCUCCUCCACCUCCAUAUUAUUACCAUUCGCCACCACCACCCGUAAAAUCUCCACCACCGCCAUAUUAUUAUCAUUCACCACCCCCUCCGGUGAAAUCUCCUCCUCCUCCUUACUACUACCACUCUCCACCCCCUCCGGUGAAGUCUCCUCCUCCACCUUACUACUACCAGUCACCACCCCCUCCCGUAAAGUCACCACCACCACCAUAUUAUUACCAUUCACCACCUCCUCCGGUCAAAUCUCCUCCUCCACCCUACUAUUACCAUUCACCUCCUCCACCGAUGAAAUCUCCACCACCACCAUACUACUACCACUCACCACCUCCUCCAGUCAAAUCUCCUCCUCCACCGUACUAUUACCAUUCACCUCCUCUACCGGUGAAAUCUCCACCACCACCAUACUACUACCAUUCA
This 2534-nucleotide long non-coding RNA is filed under the name Brassica napus (rape). RNAcentral's name for it is "long non-coding RNA (BNAP_LNC027221)". Lineage: Eukaryota; Viridiplantae; Streptophyta; Magnoliopsida; Brassicales; Brassicaceae. The record is from RNAcentral.